AUUGAACGCUGGCGGCAGGCCUAACACAUGCAAGUCGAACGAGUGGCGGACGGGUGAGUAAUGUCUGGGAAACUGCCUGAUUUAGGGGGAUAACUACUGGAAACGGUAGCUAAUACCGCAUACCAUCAUAUGUUCCCAGAUGGGAUUAGCUUGUUGGUGGGGUAACGGCUCACCAAGGCGACGAUCCCUAGCUGGUCUGAGAGGAUGACCAGCGACACUGGACAGGAGACAGGGGCCAGACUCAUACGGGAGGCAGCAGUGGGGAAUAUUGCACAAUGGGCGCAAGCCUGAUGCAGCCAUGACGCGUGUAUGAAGAAGGCCUUCGGGUUGUAAAGUACUUUCAGCGGGGAGGAGUUACCCGCAGAAGAAGCACCGGCUAACUCCGUGCCAGCAGCCGCGGUAAUUC
This 406-nucleotide ribosomal RNA is filed under the name uncultured bacterium. RNAcentral's name for it is "partial 16S ribosomal RNA". It matches the Rfam family "Bacterial small subunit ribosomal RNA", at positions 30 to 526 of the family's 1533-position model. The record is from RNAcentral.